UUGAUUCGUUGUUUUUGAACGAAUCGUUCACUCACGAGCCGCUUGCCGUAUCGGGGCAGGGCACUCGCUAACAAGCGUAACGCUCUGCUUGGUUGCUGUUUACUUGGUAUUAUUGUAGUUUAACCUAACCGUGCAGCCAUCUCUAAUUAGUUUCUCACGACGUCUGUACAAGAGCGUACAUGCAGGAGCUUCAACGCGUUCUGUUCGCUAACUGCGAGUGCUAACACUUGCAAGCUAGCCUCUACGUCACACCUAUUGGAGCCUGUAAAACAGAGAAGAUGGCUUUAUCGAGGACACAAGAUGCGUGUUCAGGCGAUGACGGUGGCGGAAUGCGGUUAUCAGAAAUGGACAACCGGUGCGGGGGCGACGAAGCGAGCCAAGGCGAGAUAAUUGGCUCCUCUGGGGACGGAGGAGAGCUAAAAACGUGUGUGUUGGAGGGCUUCGGUGAGCGGGACGAGGUCGAGGCUCUCAUCGCGGGUCUGCCAGACGUCCACGGGGAGCUGACCGGUCGGGAGUCCGCCACGGAGAAGUUUCAGAAGAUUCUUGACCGAUAUCAAGAUCAGCCUCAUCUGCUGGACCCACACUUGGAGUGGAUGGUGAACAUGUUGUUGAACCCGGUGAGGUGUGAGGACUGCCCUUCUACCUUGUUUCAUUUGGCCUUCAAAUUCCUCUACAUCGUCUGUAAGGUGCGAGUUUACAAAAUCUUCAUUCGGCGUUUGCCUCACGAGGUCGCCGACAUGGAGCCUGUUCUGGGUUUGCUGUCCAAACAGGAUCCGACAGACACACAGACAUGGUCGACACGCUACAUUCUGCUGCUGUGGCUAUCCAUGACCUGCCUCACACCCUUUGACCUUUCUCGCCUGGAAGACGGCCGCGCCAGAGAGCCCAUCAUGGAGCGCAUCCUCGCUAUUGCUAAGUCCUAUCUCGGUGUCAGCGAUAACUGCAGGCUUGCUGCUUCCGUCUUGGUGUCAAAGUUCAUGACGCGGCCAGAUGUGCUCAAGAAGCACCUUGGAGGCUUCCUGGACUGGAGCCUUAACACGAUAGAACAAAAUAAUGACCAGUCCCUGGACGCCAUCAGGCUGCUGGAUGGUGCUCUUCAGUCUCUGGCGAUGCUUUUCCAGCACGGCAAGCGGGAGGAUCUCUUAGCGCACGCUUGUCGAGUUUUGCACUGUCUCGAAGCAAAAGGGCUCUCGAAGAGCAGCCAAGCCACUCUGAGGAAGCUCAACGUCAAACUGAUCCAACGACUUGGCCUCACCUAUCUGAAGCCUCGCUUGGCCCCUUGGAGGUACCAGAGAGGAAGCAGGUCCAUAGCAUCCAGCCUUUUGAGCAGCCCAGCCGCCGACACCCUCCAAGAGACCACGCGAGGGGAGGACCACUAUGAUAUCCCACAAGAGUUAGAGACUGUUAUUGAGUAUCUACUGGCCGGGCUCAAAGACAGGGAGACAAUCGUGCGUUGGUCUGCGGCAAAGGGUGUUGGCAGAGUGACUGGGAGGCUUCCCAAGGAGCUGGCGGACGAGGUGGUGGCGUCAGUGCUGGACUGCUUCAGCUUCCAGGAGACGGACAGCUGGCACGGCGGCUGUCUGGCCCUUGCCGAACUUGGUCGGAGAGGCCUCCUGCUGCCCUCCAGAUUAAGCCAGGUGGUGCCGCUCAUCACCUUGGCCCUGACCUACGAUGAGAAGAGGGGCGCAUGCAGCAUUGGCUACAACGUGCGCGACGCCGCCUGCUACGUGUGCUGGUCCUUCGCCAGGGCCUACGAUCCCAAAGAGCUCCGGCCCUUUGUCAACCAAAUCGCAAGCUCUUUGCUGGUGGCGGCCACGUUCGAUCGAGACGUCAGCUGCCGCAGGGCCGCCUCAGCUGCUUUCCAGGAAAACGUUGGCAGGCAGGGGACGUUCCCUCACGGCAUCGACAUUGCAACGGCGGCGGACUUUCACGCUGUGGGCAUUCGCAACUGCUGUUACCUGAACACUAGUGUUUACAUUGCCAGUUUUCCUGAGUACACCAAAGCCAUGAUUGACCACUUGGUCGUCAAGAAGGUCAACCACUGGGAUGGUGCGAUUCGAGAGCUCACCUCCAAAGCGCUUCACAACCUGACGCCUCAAGCACCUGACUACAUGGCGGCCUCGGUUCUGCCACAGCUGUUGAAGAUGGCGGCGGCGGCAGACCUUCAAGGUCGCCACGGAGCCAUCUUGGCGUGUGCGGAGGUGACCUAUGCACUCUACAAACUAGGCCUCUGCACUGGCAGGACUGUCAUGGACAUGGUUCCCUCCGACUGUGUGGUGGCUUUGAAGGAUCUUCACCAGAAAAUCCAAGACAGGAAACAGUACAGGGGCUUUGGUGGAGAGCUGAUGAGGCCAGCCAUGUGCCGACUUAUUGAGACGCUUUCCUUGUCCAAAAUGCCGUUCAAGAACGAGCCGGUCAUCGCCGGCUGGCAGGCGCUUGUUGACGACACCAUCGGGUCACUUCAUCUGCUCUUAGGCCGUGUCAAGGACGGCGUCUUGGAUGCCGCGCUGCGUGCCCUGUCUGCCUUGUGCAAGGAAUACUACCAGGUCCGGCCCGGCCAGGCUGACCCAGAGCAGCAGAGCGCACUCGUCACUCGCUAUACGGAGGAGCUGCGGAGUCCGCAGAUGCUCAGUCGUUGCAGCUCUGCCCUCGCCCUCGGCUGUCUGCCGGGCUUUAUGAGCCGCGGCAAGCUCAAGCAGAUCUUGGACGGCCUUGGCCAGAUGCACGCCGCCUGUCUGCGCGAGCGCCGUUUCCCGGAGGCCAGGAGGGACGCCGUCCAAGCGCUGUCCCAAGUAUGUCUGAAAGCGGGCGUUUGUACCCGCGGGUCCCCGGCAUCCUUUCUGUGCUCGGAGAACAUUGCCCACGUGUACGCCGUCCUGCUGGACAGUAUGGACGACUACGCCACCGAUAGGAGAGGGGGCGUGGGCGCCUGGGUGAGAGAGGCCGCAAUGACGAGUCUGAAGGAUGUGACAAUCCUGGUGACACAAACAGCCCCAGAGAUUCUCCUCCCAGAGCAGGUGAAGUGCAUGAUGGGCAAGCUGGCGCGGCAGUCAGCUGAGAAUAUCGACCGCUACAGAGCGCACGCCGGCGCCAUCUUCACGCAGCUCCUGCACCACUCCGACCCGCCUAUUCCGCACAUCCCCCACAAAGAGGCGCUGUUAAGCAUCUUUCCACUGGAUGUCAAAUCCAGUCUGAACUGGAAAGCGCCAUCCCAAGCCUUUCCAUAUAUCACCCGGCUACUUGGACUGCCCGAGUACCGUGACCAAACCUUGCUGGGCCUCACCGUGUCAGUGGGUGGGAUGGCUCAAUCCACAGUGACGGCCUCCUCCCAGUCUUUGCUUGACUUCCUGCGUGGGAUCCAAGGUGACCGCGCCGCCCUGGAGCACUUUGCCAUGGAUGCCCUGAUUCAAAUCCUGAGAGAAAAUGAUGUCCUUUUCAGAAUCGCCCUCCCUUUCCUCAAGAUGUUGAACCUGCUGUUGUCUAACGGCUGCUUUGACAUCUUCACCUCGGAAAAAGAUCACCCUUUCUGCGUGGAGCUGCUGUCGCUGUGCCGAGUGGUUGGGCGGUCCAAGGACGUGUAUAAGCUGCGCGCCUGUGUCACCGUCUACUGCGGUCUCAUCCAGUUCCCGGGCCAGGUCCGCAAAGAGGUCUUGGAGGAGCUGCUGAUGCUGCUCUGCAACUCCUUCCUCUUGGUUAGAACAACAACUGCCAGGCUGAUGUACGAGAUGCUGCUGACAUACGACGACGUCGUCGUUCCUGACUUUUUGGAUGAGGUCAUGAACCUGCUCAGCGAUACCGACUGGGAACGUGAACCUGCCACUCUGCACCCCACUAGAAAUAAGCUACAUCAUUUGCUGGGAGUCUCCAUGAAACCUCCCGUUGCUCAGAACAUGUCCCCAGAGAGUCAGAAAAUGGACGGAUGACAUUGCGUUGAAUGCUAUCGUGGAACAGGAUGUCCAGACAGGGAGGACAUCUCAAGCCCGGUGAGGAACGCGAAUAACAACUCGUCGUUGUGGUCCAGACCCAACUGCCCACAACUGAGACCAGACACCUGCGCUGAGCGGAAAAACCCAAACGAGGAGGAGAUGACGACAACCAAUCAUCACACAAUAUUUUGCAUGCUUGAAUAUUCAUAUUGUGUUUCUUUAAAACUGGGCAACCCGGAAGAAUGAGUUGUCUCUUGGUGGUCACAGAAGGCACACGAGUUUUUGUGUUAAGGACCCGGGGGACCCUGGCACCUGUAUUAGCUUGCUUUGUCAGGAUUAAACAAUUGGUAAAUUCGGCCUAAUUGAUCUACUGGUCUUCUCUUUGACAGAAUGAACUCGCAAAAUUGUUAGGUGUGACAGUGUGUGGAUUUGACAUAACAAUUCUUGUGUUAAGUGUUGAUCGCAAUUUGGAGUCAGAUCAAUAACUAAAAUCCGUAGCCUAACAGGUCAAACGCGCAUGCGUGUGAUGUGAUCCCGCAAAGGAGGAGGGACAAACCCAUUUGAGGAGUGUCAAUUUCGCUCUCAAAAUGGCUAGGAAAAAAUGCACAGCUAAACGAAUAUAUGACGAUGAACACAGGGCAGAGCGAUUGGUUUUGCUGGCUUUUUAAUGAAUGGCGACUGUGACUACGGGGGCCCAUUAGGUCCAGAAAAGCUGACAAGACGCUAAGCCAGGGGUGGCCAACUCGGCCAAAAUAGCAAGGAAAAAAUGCACAGCUAAACGAAUAUAUGACGAUGACCACAGGACGUUUUUAAGUUAAAGUUGUUUUUUGUUGAACGUAAUGGCAAACCAUUCUGCUUGAUAUGUCGGACGUCAUUAGCGCAUUUAAAAGCUUCAAAUGUUCAGCGCCACUUCAGCUCACUUCAUGCCAAUAUCGAUAAGGACUUUGCAAAAGGGACUGAAUUUUGCAAGCACAAGUUUGGACACUUUGAAAAGUCAGGCAGAAAAAUAGGUACAGUUUUUCCAAAAAAUUACGAAGCACUCAGAGACUGUCACACUUGCAUCGUUUCAACUGGCUUGGAACAUUGCACGGGCUAAAAAGCCAUACAAUGAAUGCCUCAGUGACGUUAUUGAAAAUCUUGUCUCCUGAAAACGACAAACCAAAACAAAUGGUCUCCAGAAAGAGGGGAUGGUGAGUCGUCGGGGAAGUGCUGGUUAAAAGACCAGUGCUGGCUCAGUGGCCUAGUGGUUAGAGUGUCCGCCCUGAGACUGGAAGGUUGUGGGUUCAAUCCCCGGCCAAAGACUGUAAAAAUGGGACCCAUUGUCUCCCUGCUUGGCACUCAGCAUUAAGGGUUGGAAUUGCGGGUUAGAAGGAGUGGAGCUCUUUACAAGCCCUAGGCUUCGUCUCCCUCCUUGCACAGUUAUUGAUAUAUGUCCUAAACAAUAAACUAACUAAGGAUCCCAGCUUUGUGUGGAAGCAGCAGUGUACCGGGUGGUGGUGUUAAGUCGACCCCGACUGCACCCGCACAUGGCAGGCCCCAGUGUGCCAUGGUGGCACACAGCUGAGCCACGGCUGGUGAGUGGAGACUCCUCCCGAGGACGCCGGCCGGAUGUCCAGAGCUGGGCCAGAGCUGUUGCAGUCAAUAGAUCAGACGCCAGCGUUGCUCUUAACCCGGAAGACAACAGAUGGCGGGGGAGGGGAUGGGGGAAAUCUCACACCCUUCUGUCUCCGACUUCAUUCAAUUAUUGCUAACCUUAUUAUAACAUCACAUACGUAUAAAUGUCACAAAGAGUUGCCGUUAAAGCGGGUGGGGUUCUACAGGGCUUUGGGUUUUGACACUAUUGUCAAACUGGGAAACAUUGUCGUCUCAAACAUGAGUCCGUGUGAGUUAUUUCAUCCUAGACCGAAGAAAGGUGCGGCAGACGUCUUGUCGCAACACGCUCGCUUGUUUGCUCAUCGGGGAGUUGUUUGGAGACAGCCACUGGCACAAACCGCUGCAAAGGCUCGAUGAAUCAAAGAACGUCUUGUCAGUUGGAACAACAGCCCGCACGGGUGUCACCGGCCAGGGCGGGGCCCCUUGACGACGCACGCGGCCCCAAGCCAGAAUUGUACGCCAUUUCAUCUGUCAUCAUGUGCUCAUCUUCAGCCAGUCGCAAAGUACCAGUUACAAACGGAUGGUUCUGCUUCUCCUCAUUGUAUGGCUUAGGUUCUCCUAAGUCCGCAUUUGUUGGAUUUGGCAAGAGUGAGUGAGUGAGUGAGUGAGUGAGUGAGUGAGUGAGUGAGUGAGUGAGUGAGUGAGUGAGUGAGUGAGUGAGUGAGUGAGUGAGUUAAUGAAAUGCAGCCAAUUGGAAGUGAAUUAAUGAAAUGCAGCCAAUUGGAAAGUUAUUUGGCUGAGCUUUUUGUGUUUGCUCCCAGAAGUUGAUAAAAGAGAGAAAGGUGUGAUCAGGGUGACAAAUUGAAAGCGCAACUUGCAGUAUGACGGUUCUGACACCCAUUCGAAUCCAACAAUCUCCAUCACCAACCACCUUUCGUUGGACACGGUCACAGAGUCCAUUUUGAAACGGAGAACCUCUUUUUGCAUAACUUAACAAAUUGGCCCAGAUUACUUGAAGUCACUUCAACUCCAUCUUGGAAAUGGGCUAGAAUGAAGUCAGUUGUGAGAGACCAAUGAGGGAUUUUGCUGUCCCCUCAUGAACCUGCGUUAUUUUCAAACCUAUGUGAUGUAUGUACGUCUGCCAAAUGUCAUUACUGGGGAUGAAUGUUACAAUUUUUUUUUUUUGAAGUUGUGCAACAUGAAUAGCAACGUCACCAGCCAGAACAAGUUAUUUCAGCAGGACACCUCCAUGUACGUUUCUAUGUGCAUGGAUCAGUGUUAGUCCGAAUCGAGCCCUGUUAUGGUAAAGGCAGAUAUUAGACAGAUUGGAUAAUUUUCUCUUGAAAAACGACAUUGAUUUGUGUCUACUUUCUUUGUUUUGAAAGAGUUUGUCUUCCUCCUCUGCAUAAAUGACCACUAUACAAGUCAAUAAGAAGGGAGCGACUUUGGAUGCCCCCCCCCCCCCCCCCCCCUCUCACUUUUUCGAGGACUUGUCACACACACCUCUGAUUUAAGGACACGUGUUUGAUCUCAGCAAAAACUAUGAGCUUGAAUUCUUGAACGCGUCUUUAAGGGAGGUGCAAGAAGGAAGUGAAGGGGGCGCGGUGUGGGAGGAGCGCUCACGGGCACAGUCGCAGCUCCGAGCCUCCGAGGUCGUUUGACGGAGGAUUGAAAGCGGAGAGCCCAAGACGACGGAGAAGCAAAUCCUCUGCCCUAAGCCGAGUGGACGGCUGCGAGGAAAUGUGGCGGCGGACUUUGAAGCCACUUUGAGGCGAAGGAAGACCAACAUGCAUAGCCAGCCGCUGCUAGACGCCUCCUGUUUACCUCGCCUCGCCGUCGUCGACUUCGUUCUCAGCCGAUGUCGGACUUCUCUCUGCCAGUAUUCGAGCGACCAGUGCAGCUGGAAGGGCAGGUGAUCAAUAACCAUGAUAAUCAAGAAUAAGGACGAGAAUAAAAUGCACGUUCCAUCCACGCACUUUACACAAACACUCUUGAGUUGCACUCUUAUAGCAACUUAUGUAGCUAUCUGGUACACAAGCGUCACAAUUGGCCUACAUAGCAAUGGAUCACAAAAUAUAGUAAUAUAUAUACAAAAAUACAAAAGCGAUCAAAUAUUCAGGGAGCACAAAUCUCGCCGCACAUUUAAAGAAAAAACACGACAUCAAAGUUGCGAUUCAUUCACGAUAUAUCGCGAUAUAGUGCUCUACGAUCGACAUAUUAUUUUUUUAAUAAAAAAUAUAGAACAAUAUCCUGAUUUAUAACAAUUCAUACGCAAAAUCAACAAGGUACUGCAAACUCUUUAUUUAGGAAAUUACAAGAGUAUUGCAGUAUACAAAGUGCUUAUUUUAACACUGAACUUUGAUGUCGUGUUUUUUCUUUAAAUGUGCGGCGAGAUUUGUGCUCCCUGAAUAUUUGAUCGCCGCAUGGCAGGAUUUACAAACUGCACGUGUCUUGUCGGUUGAGCCAUAUUUUCUUUGGAAUCCAAAGUGCUUCCACACGAAUGACUUGAAGCCUAAAGGGGAGCAAAUUUCCUCGUCUUUUUAGACACUAGCCAUAGCACCAGCCCAGGAGCCGCGUACUAGUUGUUGACUCCCCUUUCACGUGCGUGCUCUGCUCACGACACAACAACGCCGCUGCACUGCUCCCGGAGAGAGGAAGCAAGCAACAAUGAACUGGAUUUCAAAAUAAAGUCGCGUCUAAUGUCCGAGGUCAAACACGGCGAUAUAAAUCGAUGUUUACCUUUAGCAUCGAUGCCAAUAAAUCGUAGAGCAUUAUAUCGAUUAGUCGAUGUGUAUCGAUGUAUCGUUACACCCCUAGUCUUGUCCCUUGAGCCAUCUUUUCUUUGGAAUCCAAAGUGCUUCCAAACGAAUGACUUGAAGCCUAAAGGGGAGCAAAUUUCCUCGUCUUUUUGGACACUAGCCAUAGCACCAGCCCAGGAGCCGCGUACUAGUUGUCGACUCCUCUUUCACGUGCGUGCUCUGCUCACAACACAACACGCGCAGUGCGCUCCCGGAAAGAGGAAGCAAGCAACAAUGAACUGGAUUUCAAAAUAAAGUCGCGUCUAAUGUCCGAGGUCAAACACGGCGAUAUAAAUCGAUGUUUACAUUUAGCAUCGAUGCCAAUAAAUCGUAGAGCAUUAUAUCGAUUAAUCGAUGUGUAUCGAUGUAUCGUUACACCCCUAGUGUUUAUAUAUAUAAUUUUAGAAUUAGUGAUUCAUGCAUUAAAUUUAUCCUCUAACAUUAUCAUUGCCAUACUUCUGCCAAUUAGACUUUCUUCCGAAAAAGGGAAGUAGGCUCGCUACUUCAUCUACUCAGUAGAGUGGGGCCUUGUCAAAAGUAUUUAAUUUUAUCGGGCCACGUCAAAAGCCACUUUGGAUGAUUUUGAGGGAUUAAUUUGCCUUCAAAAUUAAUUGCAGGAUAAUAAUAAUUCGAUUAAAUCAUUUUAACUCGUAUUAAGUAAAAUAUUAUUUUGUUGGAAACAAUCGAAUUUGUGGAAGCACUCCCACGGUUAAGUGUUUAUAUAUAUAAUUUUAGAAUUAGUGAUUCAUGCAUUAAAUUUAUCCUCCAACACUAUCAUUGCCAUACUUCUGCCAAUUUGACUUUCUUCCAAAAAAAGGCAAGUAGGUUCGUUACUUCCUCAAACCCGUAGAGCGGGGCCAUAUCAAAAGUUACUUCGACAAAAGUAGUGCUAUGGUGCGCUAGACGAACGAAUCCCUGAGGCCUUAACAAACGCAUCUAAAAAAUAUCCGUAACGUAAUACCAGCAUCAAACAACUGAAGGGAGCCAUCAUUACGGCGCGGUCAUUUCGACAACUUGCCUCGAAUUGAGUUACUCGGCUCGCGCCUCGGAUGACUUUAGCGGGAUUGACGUCGUAUAGAAGUUAGGUUGAUUCCAAUAGAAUUAAUUUAUCUCGGAUGGUCAGCUACGGACUAGUCCCUUCACUCCCGGCUUAUUAAACCCGUUACCGGGGAGCCGGAGGCACUUCGAUAAAAAGUGCGCGUUUGACUAGGAGGAGUGUCAUAGUUGGAACACAGGCGCUGUAUGACCUAUAGAUUGAACCAGGGCUGUGGACUCGGUCGGACUUUUUGCACCGAGUCCGGCCUCUUGACCAUGAGUCCGAGUCUGAGUCCGAGUCCGGCUGUCCAUUAAUUCUGUUAAUUCAUGUGACUGCUUAGUCUUUAUUCAAGGCUAAUUUAGAUCAAAAUCUAAAUAAUUACAACAGUUUUGUGAUGGCUUUGUCUUUAUUAAACAUAUAAACGAAUACAAUAAACAGAUACUCAGAUACGUCAGUCAAUUUUAAUUUUUCUAAAGGAUUAUUCUCAUUUGAUGCCAUCCGCGUUCUGCCAUUGAAGCGGGGUGCAUUCAAAGACCAGUCGUACAGACGGAACACUCAUUCACUCCACCAAAACGCAACAAUAUAAUUACGUGAGCUCUUUGCAUAAACCUCGAUGCAAAGAAACUACCGUUUUUUUCCGUGUAUAAUGCGCCCCCAUGUAUAAUACGCACCCUAAAAAUGGCAUGCUGAUGCUGGAAAAAAACUUGUACCCCCGUAUAAUACGCACCCAAUUUUUAUGAAUUUUUUUUAAUUUUUAUUGUAUUUUUUUUUUUUAAUUUUUUUAAGUCCCAAUGAUCGUCACACACGCAGGGAGGCAAUGGGUCCCAUUUUUAUAGUCUUUGGUAUGGUCUUAUCUAGGCUGGAUGUAAUUGUUUUUGGUGGCGUUGAUUUCUCCGACUGCCCAUAAACGCACCACCGUGCACGCAUGUAAAAAAGGCGUGCGGACGUGAAAAAGGCUGCUCUGUAUGGGAGAGACGUUGAAGAAGAAUAAAAACACCCUUGGAAACCAAAACUUGCCCCUCGUCGUGACUCGGAGCCGCAACAAAUGUGUCGGAUUUGUGUAGGGUACAUUGUGACAGACAGCAAACGAGCAGGUGAUCGAGCAAGCGUCUGAUACGAGAGCAUUGCGGUCGUAUGGAGCGUGUUUGAAGUGAACAGCAGAGACGAAAGGAACAAGGCAAUGUGUUGUGAAAUAAAAUAUUACAUGUAAUACGCAUUUUGUUAUUUGCUGAUUGAAACUGCUAAUUAAACUGUGAAUCGAGACUAAUAAGAAGAAAACAACUCUUUAUAUAGCUGACGUGUCUUGCGCAUCCGUUCUGCGCAUCGGAUCCAUAGUGCGCAUGCGCAGUUAUACGUCCGGUCCGCGAUGGAGAUUAAAAAACAAACAAUAUUUGACAAUAACACACCAUCAAGGAUUGCACCAUCGCAUCAAACGAUGUGUCGUCAAUUAUAAAUUUUACUAAGUGUGUUGGGCAGGAUGCGCGAUUGACAACAAACAAGAAGAAAUGUGAUUUCAAGUUUUAUUUCGGGGGAGAUUUGUCAUGUCUCGUCCCCAGUUUUGCUAUGUGUCUAGGUUGCCGUAGUUUCUGUUCGCGUCGCCCCUCUCUUCCUGUGUCACCUCAAUUGAUGUCACGUGUUUUGUAUUUAAGUCCUGUCUUCCCCUCGCUCACCGUCGGAUCAUUGCAUGUGUUACUGUCAUGAUGUGGUUUCUGUUCCUGUCUUUGGUAAUGUCACCCUGUCUUUUUGUUCCACGACUUUGUCGGUCAGUCCUGUUGUUGGUUUUGUUGUACCAUGACUUUCUUUAAAAAAAAUAAAAAAGAUAAAAAUAAAUAAAAAUUUAAAAAAUUUUGUACCCAUGUAUAAUGCGCACCCCAGAUUUUAGGACAAUAAAUUAGUUAAAUUUUCCGCACUAUACACGGAAAAAAACGGUACUCUUUUUGGGUACAGGCUACAAGGAGUAUAUAUUACAAAGGAGACUUUAUACUUAAUUGUGAUCAUCAUUCAUCCAUCCAUCCAUUUUAUUGUAUUACUCAGGUAUUUUCAAAGCAAAUUAAUAUUGUUGCAUUUAUUAAUUUGCUUUAACAUGACAGUGUGGUGAAUGGUCUUUGUUGUUUCGCUGGUCUCCAAAAAAACACUCAGUGGACGAUGGCUGGUCCGGGUAAGGAAGCACUUCGGUGACACACGGCUGAUUGGGAAAAGAUUUAUUCAACCGAUGUCAAAGUGAUGUCUCUCCAAAAGUUAGGGUGGCCCCAAGAGCAAAGAUGUUUCAGCUCUUGACAGCACAGAUGUUCGCCCCAAAAAGGCCCCCGCGCUUCUUGCUCUUGCCCCUUGCGCCCUUGCGCGCCCGCUCUUGUCCUUCGCGCCCUCCGCGCUCCUGCGCGCUCCUUGCUCUUCGCGCUCUCGUUCUCCUCUCUAUCUGUUCUCCCCCAUCAUUUGUACCUCGUAAGACAACAGCUGCGGUCCGAGUCUCACUCUACUGGUUACUUCCGAUGCCCUUAAAAGUGCAUGGACAAAGGUCUUCCUGGUCACGGACGAAUGGCUCUUCCAUAUUCUAAGUACCUACACAUUACUGAAACUAGAGCUUCUUUGUACCGCGAAAAUAGCUUAGGGUCUUCUCACUGCUGCAAGGUCGCCAUUUAAGGUGACAUACAGUGACGCAUAGAAUCCAAAAUUUACCUCAUUCCCUCCUCCGGGACUUUAUAAAUGUCCCGAAAACGGUCCAAAAAGAGAUGACAUCGGUAAACAUCCAAAAAUCUUCACCCAACCAAAUUUUCUGAUCACGUCUACAAUUUGGCCUAUACUUGCACAGCCUAUAUCACGCUCGAGGCAUGCUACUUAAGGUUAUUUUAACUAGGAAAGCUCAAACUACUUUGGUAUCCAAUUGCUCCCUGACAGCAAUCUGAGGUCUCUCAGGAACCACAAAUAAAGAAAAUUGAAGUCCACAUUAUCCAAAUGACGAUAACCACCCCCCUUAGGUAAUAUCUCAAUACCGUCGAUAAUUUGCGAAGUAAUGAAUUUGGCGUGGUCCGUUAGAAACCUCAAAAAGUUGCCGGCCCUCCCUCGAGAAAAAACCCUGCCAGUCUAAUGACACGGAAAAAGAGGGAGGCCCUUUCUAACAUCCUCAGUGAUUCCUUCCACCUGGCGUCAGCCAGGUACAAGGAGUCUUGGCACAUAUCACAAUCCACAAAACAGUAUGAGCUCACAAAACAGAAGGAAAAUAAAUGACAAGUUCACCGACCGCUAAACAGUCAAACUGCAUUGUCAAUGUUAACAUGUGAAAAGUUAAAUGAAUAAGAUAAAGUAAUUGCAGCAUGUAGUCAUCAGAUAAAGUACUGAUUGGUAAAAUAUUGACGCAAUAUCACAGCAUACUGAAACGUUGAAGCGCCCUCAGUGUUGCCCCCCUUGCAUAUGUAAGUGCCUGUUGAUGCAAAGUCCAGUCCACUGAAUGCUCAGUAGUGAAUUUGCCCCGGGAUCACUGCUCAGGGCCUGCCGUCCAUCCAAAAUCUUUAUGUCCACUCCACCGUCCUCAGAGUCUCUUUCCAGGCCCCGGUCAGCGUCCACGGGGUCUGCAAUAAUCGGGAGCCACUGCCAGUAUUUAACAAUGACAACAGCACAAAACCUUGAGUUGCAAUGAAAAAAGCAGCUAUGCCCAGCGUAGGCCGGAAGUCCUCCCGGCCCCCUUCGGUCACCCCCAGUAGACGACAUCUCCAUAACCAUUCGUCUGCAAACCAAAUCUUCUCUUUUGGGAUUGAUUGGGGCACGGGGACGACUGGUGGUCGUCGUCUCAUCGAAGUGGUCAGUAGAACCUCCGAGGCGUUCUCGGCAUCUACUCCUAUGACCCAGAGGCCCACGUGAUCCCUGAAACAAACAAACAAACAAACAAACAAACAAACACUCCCCCUAGGAGUUAUGAAUAAUCCCCCUUAUUUCUCGUUGUGUUGUCAGUCUCGCAAGAUCCCUCCUGUAGCAGAGUAACUUCUGCCUGUUCAAGUUAGUCUUUCCUGCUGCAGCUGUCACUGUCUGAAGUCCGGUCAAUCAGUCUUUGCAAUUGCUUUUUCCCAGUCCAAAUCUUAAUUUCUACUCCAAAUUUUCCUCUUUGAUUCCAAUUUUUCUCAGUAUUCUCAAAUGGGCAUCAGUCCUGUCAGUUUUGUUAACCCAAUUUGUUUAUGUACAUUAUCUUUGUCUCCCCUUCAAGUCAUCUUACUGUUCAAAUCAGUCGCCCUUUUGAAUGAACCUGUAAUCUUCCCAAAAUGAUUCAACUAUUCAACUCUUUUCAACAUUUGUUAUGCAACUUAACCCUCUUAAAAUGUGUUCUUAAAUACUUUCCCUUCAUUAGCAGCUUUAAUGCAUUCAUAUGUUAAGAAAUUAUCCCUAUUGCUUGUUUCUGGUCCAGUUUCCUAUUUUAUUUAAUUACCUUUGAAACAUUUGUUGUCUAUUGCGCUGCAGUCUAAUCCCUAUUAGCUGUAUGAGUUGUCAUCAUUCGUGCUUUUCCGUUGAAACACUUUAACCGUUACUGUCGCUAGGUUGUUACCACGCUUUGCAUCCAUUCCAGAUUGUUGUCUCCCAUUAACUCCUUUCCUUUCGAGAUGCUUCUUCUGCUCCUUCCAUCACUGCCUGUUGAAUUCUGGCACGUUCUGUUAAAGCCUCAAAAAUAAUUGAAUCCGAAAAAACAUUGAAUGUCGCAAAUAGCUUUUAUAUCUACUUACUCAUUUAAAUGUAACUCCCCCCCCUCUGACACAUUCACUCAAUGUGUCAUCAGGCAUUCAAAAAGGAACCGGCAAAACGUCCUACCGCAUCAUCAUGUGCCUUGCAGCCAGUUUGUCGAACCUUUCACUCAUCCAGAACCGUCAUCCCCAAGUUCCUGAAAAUUCAGUUCACCCCACACUCGGCAACAAAACAACAAUCAUCGCACUCCUGCCAGUGAGCAUACAGCCCUGCUGACAGCGGACCCUUGUGCUCACAAAAAGUACACAGGCAUAGAGUAUCAAAAUAAAACAUAGACACACAACGAAUCAUGGCGCCCGGGGAUUCUGUCCUGAAAAUCCUCAAUCAUCACAAAAAUCAAAAGGGUUAGGGUUAACAUUUUAACGUGAAUUCAAUAUAAACUCUCCAAGACUGCAAUCGCCAACCUGCAAAAUUAUUACAAGUUAUAAAACAGCCAGCAAUCUGCUCCUUGGCUGGUGGUUGAUGCUGCAAUAAGUCAAGUGACGCACAGAAACAAAGCAAAACUUGCACUUGCCACACGCAACCUUAAGUUUCAAAUGUUUGGUUGUCAUCCACAUAGUCAGUCAUCCCGUCGGGUGAGUCCAAGUCUGUCAUGUCAUAUCGUCCAUUGUCCUAGCGUUUGAUAUUAGUCCUGUCUUGUCCAUUCGUGUUGCUGAAAUGGGCCUUCUCCAUGAACUAUUUUGUUGUUCAUGGUGCCUCUGAUUAACCAUCAGCUGUUGGUUAAGGUUACAACUCAUCACUCAUAAAACGUGGGUGUUCCAGUCUCAUGUGAGAGGAAUCUUACCCUCAACUGUGACCCUUUCACCCCAACUCCAAAAUCACCCUGAUCUGUCCCAGACACACAUACACAUUCUUAACCACACAAGUGCCAAUUCAGUCACCUUCAUCGCUCAGCUCUCAUUCCACACCAAACAAAUUUAGUAUGUGUAAGUGAGUAGGCAAUCAGUGAAUAUUGAAGGUAACACUUCAUUUCUGGAUGUUCUUCUCGAUUAAAUAUUUCAUACAAUCGUACGUCACUUUUACCGUAAAACUGUCAAUUAAAUGCCUAACAAAUUCAGUUAUUUCUACCGCUGAGCCUGUUCAAGGGUGAGCAUGGGGAAAGAAGCAGCCUCAGAUGCUCCUUAAAUAAUUUUAUCCUAAUCAAUCAUUCUGAUCGAACCGCUGGGUAAAGAUACUCAAAAGGGUCCCUCCGACAGUUGACUCCACUAUGGUGUUCUCACUUUGUCAUAUCAAUACAUUUGUUAUUCAAGUCCUAUCGCAUUUGUCAUCUCGUUAACUGUCAUUUUGUGUGACUCUUAUGCCGCAUUAUUCUUAAUCGUCAAAAGUUUCCAUGGCUGUUAUUCCUUGAACUUAUCGGACUUUCUGACACCAGAAUUCCCCGUGAGGUGUAAUUAACUUCUAAUUUUAUUAAUUAAUAAUAAUCAGGUCCAUUGUACAAUCUAGCCACCUCUUGACUGCAUCCUAUUGGGUCCUAAUGUCCUAUUUUCAUCUCCAAUCAGGGCUCGAAGCUUAUUUUUUGCCCAAGUUGCCCUCGGGCAAGUUGGAGAAAAUUUUACUUGCCCGAAACAAAAUUUUACUUGCCCGAAUUUUUUUGGAGUGGAUUUUUACUUGCCCGACACAUUUUUGCAAUAAAAAAGACAACACUAUAAGUUUUGCCUUCAUAUGCCUUCGUAUCCGCCAACCGGAAACAAGCUCUGCUGGUGCGCAGGCGCAGAAGAGCCAGGGACGGGUGAGAGAGCAUGCAUUUAAUUACGAAGCGCUUUGCCGUUAUCAAUGUAUUGCAGACUUACACGAGAAACUAACCGCUCCCUAGAAAACAAAAUGUCGGACCAGAAGCGGCAGAAGUUGCGAGAAAUUAUGCACAAAAUCGUCUUUUUACAGCUUGAAAACAUGGUAUUCUGGCAGGGCAAGUUCGGGCAAGUGAGGAAAAAAUUCUACUUGCCCGUCUGCCAUCGCUACUUGCCCCGGGCAAUCGGGCAAUCGUUAGUUUCGAGCCCUGCCAAUUUGUCAAUGACUCUAUGUCUAAUUGUUAAGCUGGAUGGACUAAAUGUGAUUCUACUCUUUAUUUCGUACAAUUUAGCCUAUCUGUUUUAUCCAAAUUUAUCCUCUGAUUAUGAUGUUUUUACACUACACCUUUUGUUCCUGAUUUAUUUAUUUAUCUUUUAUCAAGACUCCUCAGUUGUGUCAAGUUCAGUGCCCAAGCGAGCUUCCAUUCACUUUGACCCAAGCCCACCAAAUUUGGUUACGCCUCAGCAAGGAGUCCAGUUUGCUUGUUGCACAUUUCAGGUCUCAUGGUUCUUUCGCCGCACCUCAUUGUCAAGUUGUUGUCUUUAGUUGUAGCCUCAGAGCCAACUCAUUCCUCACUCUCGGAUGAGUCCAUUUUCAACUGAGUCCAUUCACAUCUUGUAAGUUUCUUCACUCUCGCCUCAGAGGAUGUCGUUUUCCUCCGGAGCGUUGUGCUCCCCCCAAGCACAAAUAUAGUCCAUCUUUGCUCUUGCAAAAGGUCAAAGGUGCUUCAGAGCCUUGCACCGUUUUCUUGUUGUUCUCAGCUGUCGGUGGAGUCUCGGGAUCGAGUUUCAGGGUCACUGCUGGAUACUGGAAAAGACAGACUGGGACACCAAACUUAAAUAUCGUCUUCCAAUUAGCCAUUAAUUACCUAGUACCUUUUGUUAAUCAAACUUCCAAUUCUCCUAUUAACAACAAUUUAAUAUAUUUGAGAAAAACGUUUCCUUUCCUUCAUGAGUUCUCGGCUGUAUUGUGAUGGACCUUAUUUGAACAAUUUUAAAGUGGCAGAUUACCGCAAACUUAAAAUUUCAAGUCUUAACUGUGAUUUCUCUCAAUUAUACUGUGAUUUCCAGAAGCUCAUCCUAAUUUCAGGCUACAUUCUAUUGUUUGUUUUCCUGCCUUUGAUUUUAUGCAAUCCUCUCUAUCAUCUUUUCACCUUUGCUGAUUUGAGCCUUCAAUUUCAGAUAAAGUUUCCCAAUUUUGCGUACAGAAUGUACAUUAUUCAUAAUUAAGUCAUGUUCCAAACAUUGCAUCCUCUCUGGUUUGACCUCAGUAUUAUUGGUGUUAUGCUCACUUACUGGACUAUCUUGAAUUUUUAACUCUCCGCCACUACAUCGAAGGCCAUUUCUCAGCUGUUCACUUUUCCCAUGCUCCAGUUAGGCUCCAUUACUCGAAUCUAGAAUGUGAUUUUCAUUUGAGUUUCUUACUUUUGGACUUCUAAAAUGCUCCUAUCGCUAAUUUAUUUGUACCGAGCAUACUCUUACAAGAGUAUUAAAAGAACCAACAGAUUACUACCAAAUCCAAUCUCUCCUCGUUGGCAUCUCCUCCUCUAUUUCGAACUUGCUGCUUUUGACCUGUGCGUCUUGUUACAGUGGGCACUGGUCAGCCUUGUCGGGCCAACGCAAUUUACGAGCAGGCUCUCCAUGCAUACAAUUCAGUCCUAUGUCUAAAUCCAGAGAAUUCCUUUAAUUCCAGCUGCUGCUGUGGCCCUCACUUGAUACCUCUCUUGCUCUCAUAAAUUAGUGUUGACCGGUUGAGUUUUCUUUAGACACUCAAAUCACCUAUAUUUGUGUUGUAGUGGUUAGCCCUCGCAUGCUCCUACUCCACGUGUUAGACGGCUGUUAAACAUUAAUUCUAAGUUCAUGCUGUGUCUCUAUGUCCUCCUGGAGACAACGGAUGUAUCCGCCGUCUCAGGUUUUUUAUGUAACUAGAAAAUCCAAAGUAUUGAGGAGAGUCCCAAAGAAACGAGUAUCAAUAAUUCGUUCUCAAUUUUGUCAUCCUUUCAGCAAUUUAAAUUAAUAAGUUGAGCUUUUCUUCAGAUCAAAUUUCCUAUUCCUCUCAGAAUGCUAAAAGGAGCUUCAGCUGGCCUUAGAGGGGUCCCCCAUUAUUUACGAGGGGGCCACACUCUUCUGCCACCGCUUGCUGUCGUCCCAGCAUGUUUUUCCAUAGAUACAUCUAUAUUGGAUUGGUUAACACACGCAUGCUCCUAUUUCUCCUGUUGGUCAUGCCUUCUUUUGCUCCUUCAGCAUUCCGUCUUCCAUCAUUUUGUCAGAGUUCCUUUCGCUGCUGGCCGCGCAGGCCCCUAACAUUGGCACAACUCCAGCCGUUCGCACCGCCCCGACGUCACCCGCGCGGGGAGGGGCCAGCCUGAAACACAGUGGGCAGGUACAGGUUGGCCACCCUGCCGCCCAGGGGGCCGGAUCCCUCUCCCCGCGCGUGCAGCGCAGGUGGGCACGCGCCCAAAGCAACGAGAGCACACCAUCCUUAUCCGUUCCUUUUGCUGCUUCUACAAGCACUCGCUCACACCCAUGCGCGCUCAUGAGCAUAACCACACACACGCACGCACUCACGAGCACGCACACACACCCAUUUACACACGCACGCACACACACACGCACGCACACACGCAUACACACACACACGCACACUUACGGGGCCCAACAAAUACACACUUCAAGCAUCCAUUCAUUCAGAAGCUCAAACAGACAACAUUAAGCUGACAGAGUUCACAAAAAUUACACACGGACACAGAAGACAUACAACGGGAUUCGAAUCCAGUCCACAUUUUGCUUCUUUCCAACUGCCGCUUAGCAGUUUGGUCAUUUUAACUGUCAUCAGAGCAGAUGCACUGACAAAUACGCACGUCUUACUUAACUUUUGUUUCGUUUCGUGUCGUUCCUGAUAGCGCUGUAUAUUUCCCCUUUAUUCUGCAGAAUUUAAAGUGUGCACACAAAUUUCUUUUUCUCCCAUGGUAUAUCACUAUUAAACCCCCCAGAGGCCUCUUUUCCACGUUUUCCAUUUUUCACACAGCAGCCGCACAAAACCUUUGUCCAAUAGCGGUUUUGUCGCAAGCUCAAAUUUAUCAAACUUUGACAGACGUGCAUGCUAUUACAGUACGCCUCGACAAAUCGGGAUCGCACCGUUGCCGCGAAAACGCACCAGCUGCCUCGGUAUUCAAAAAUGACAGCCCACCGGGUUUAGCUAUCAUUUCCUUGCACCAGCGUUUAAAUCGAGGAGCCUUGUAACCCACAAACACUUCUAAUUCGAUCAGUAUCCAAACGACGUGGCUUACGCGCGCUUUAUUUUCCUCGGUACCCUUAAAAUCUGACCGGAUCUCGGCACCCAUAACUGGGUCUGACCGGGUCACUUCCACAUUCAUGCUCACAGUUACGGAUGCCAAGGCUGUGCACUUUUCCUAUCUGCCAAACGCGGUCAGCGCAAGCCUCCCUUUUUUGUUGGACUUUUUACGGAGACUAACCCGGCCACCGAAAAUCUCGACAGGUGCGCACUUGGCCCGUACGGCCACUGAGUGCGACUGCAGUACACACAAAUUAAGUAUGCACUUAUCCCUUGAUGUUAUUGUUAUGCAAAUGAAGUGCAGGUGUCACGAGGGGGAGGGGCUGUAAGUGUCAUGGGAGAAGGGGGUGCAGGUGUUUUAGGGGGAGGGGCUGUAUGGGGGAAGGGGUGCAGGUGUUUUAGGGGGAGAGGCUGCAAGUGUUGUGGGGGGAGGUGCUGCAGUGUCACUAAGAUAACACUAGAGGGCGGCAUUUGCAUAGGAAAAAAAAAUAAAAAAUUGAGAUGGAGAGGUGUAGUGUUGGGGGAUGUCUAGGUGUUUUUUAGAGAGGGGGGUGGACCUACUGUUGGUAAGGUGGGGCUAUUGAUCGUUUUGAGAAGACACGCCAGCAGAUGAGCUCUGAUCGGAAGGAGUUGGAGCGCGUCAAAAGUUGGAGAGCGUCAAAAGUUGUUUCGAGAUGGUUAAAGGUAAGCCUUUUUAAUACUGGUAUAAUAAUAAUAAUAAUAAUACACUGAGGUUAUCAUAUAAAACAUGAUGUAAUGUGUAUGUAAUGUCAUGCAGAUAUAACCGUGUUUGCUGACGUGCAUGCAGUAUUUGACGACGACUUUAGCGGAGUUUAUUUAACACAAUCAGACUACGAUCUCGUGGCGGCUGCUACUAGGCAAAAAAAACCACUGAUACAGACUGGUUUGGAGGCAGAACUAUCAGAGCAGCGUGAUUUCGGCCAAAUCAUACCCCCCUCCGGCCGACAGGAGGUUGUCACGAGCUCUGCACAUCAUUUUGAAGCAACGAAAACAGCAGAGUUAUCAGAGCUACGUGAUAGCAGUCAAAUCAUACCCCCCUCCGACCAGCAGGCGGCUGUCACGAGCAUAGAGACGGAAGAGGGAGCAUCCACAGACAUAGAAUUGGCGGACGCUUUAUCUGCUUACGAAGACCUUCCUCAAGAAUCGAUAAACAAAGUCAGAGUUAAGCGUUGUGGAACGGGACUGCUUCAAAGAGCGAGAAAGAGCAGACGUGCAGCCUUCUACUCAACUACUAAGGGGCCUGAAUCGACAAACGAGAGCCAUCACCAUAAGACAAGGCGUGCUAUAAAGUGCAGUGGUAAUUGUGUUUACAAAAAACGGUUACAAGAAUGUUUUAAGGUAAUACGUAUUUUGACAGAUUUAGCUGAAUCAAGAUAGGUCUGUUUUUUUUUUUGUGUUGUUUAUAUUGUAAUCUCUAUCAAAAAGAAAUACAAUGGAUCAUGCUAACCUUACGUCAGCAGAGUCGGAUUUCUUAACAAACAUUGACGAAUUAGAUUUACAGCUACUUUGUGAUACGCCUGAGCUAGAUUUGUCAAACAUUAACAAUGAUUUACCGUCAACCAGUGCUUCUACAAGCCAAAUACCAGAUUUGGUCAACAUUGUAAACAAUGCCAUGCAGGAAGGGGGAGACACAGACAGUCCUGAUAUUCAGGCUCACUUACAAGCUGUCGUAAACGAGCUAAACAGUCAAAGCCGGAAUGACGGCAGCCAAAGUCCUACACUGAUACCGUCACAACUGCUAAACAUGAUAGCAGAAUUAAACAACCAAACUAACGGUAACAGCGGGCGUAACAGUCCUGAUAUUCCUGCUCAACUGUUACACAUGAUCCAAAAUCUAAAUACGCAGCCUCUGAUUGACCGAAUGACCGUUAACCCCAUAGAUCAUGAGAUAGAUGCUUCUGUGAUAACUGGUAACAUGCCACCAUCAUUUCAGCCUAACAACUGCUCUGUUAUAACCGAUCACGAGAUAGAUGUUAUUGACAACAACGCAGCAGCGUUUCAAGACAUAGCCCACCAAUCUAACAACAAUGCUUCUGUAAUAACUAAUCAGCGCGGCGGCUCUGUUGUAGUAAAUAGACCGCAUUUCAAUAAUAUUGAGAUAAGGCGGCAUUUGAAUAUACCAUCACAGGUAAACAGCAAUGAUUUUGCAACCUUUUACCUACAGAUUGAGGAUAGAAUAGAUGAAGUCUUGCGAGAGGUUGAUAUGCAAACACAGAGAGGUGACGUGAUUCAAAUCGAGUUAGUGGCUGGAAAUGAUAGGGCUCACGUUUACCCGCAAAAAAGCGACAUAAACACUAUCCGUGAUAAUGUAUCGGAUCUGCUUGAACGUCUAGCUCAAUCAAAUGUAGAGCUUCUAGCUGAUGAGAAUUUAGAGCUUAUUGUCCAAAUAGUCAAACCGAUCCGUGGCGGAAUGCGUCGUCGACUGAUGAACAGUACCAACAAAGAAAUUGACGCGUAAAAAACGACAUUUGCACAUACCUCGUAAUAAGGACAACAAUCUAUGCUUUGCUCUUUCACUAACCUAUCUGCUAAAUGACACGCUAACAUCAAAACAGGCCGUAAGGCAAGCCAGACUUUUGCAUCAGAGUGUGGGUUUAGAUUGUCAAACACCUGUGAGUCUGGGGGAUGUACAUAAAUUUGAAAAAGUUCUCAGACGGAAAAUAACUGUCAUGUACCGAAAAGAAGACAGCCGCCCCAUGACUUUCUUCGACACACAUUACCCUAAAACAGAUGAAGACACUUUAUUUGUUUUACACCUCGAGAAUCAUUACUACGGUGUGAAAACGAUAGAGGCAUUCGUGGGGUAUGCAUAUUUUUGCAGAUAUUGUUACAGAGGGCAUGAAAAUUGGCAACGCCAUCAAUGUGAGGGACACUGUAACAUUUGUCUCGAUCCUCGUUGUAAACAACGACGAUUUAAACAUGUUAUCUGCCCUGCUGUAACAAAACUUGUCGUAAUGAAGAAUGCUUUACCAAACAUAAAGAGUUUCGAGCGACGAAUCGUGUGAGUAACUGCACCACAUACAAAAAGUGCUUGCAAUGCGGGCUCCAAUAUUAUGUGAAAGCUGAUGGUACCGGUGCUAAACAUCGCUGCCCCGUGAAAAGAUGCGCGGUGUGUAGUGAGAUCUUAAACCAAGAUGAUGAUGUCUUACUAAACCCUCACCUGUGUUACAUGCAGCCCAUCAAGCCUCAACAGCCUUGCAAAAAUGUAGUCUACUAUGAUUUUGAAACUUAUGUAGAUGCAGAUGGUUUACACAACCCCUUUCUUAUCUGCUGUAAAUCAAAUAGACUGACGAAACAGUGGUUUGGGACAGACCGUGUUGACAAAUUCCUCACAUUUUUUCGAAACCCCCGGUUUAAACAAACGACAUUUGUUGCACAUAAUGCGAGAGGUUUUGAUUCCUACAUCUUGAUAAAGAGAAUGCUUGAAUUAGGUAUCAAACUUGACAUUCUGAUGCAAGGGAGUAAGGUUCUAUCAUUCGUCGAUUUAGACACAAAAUCUCGUUAUAUCGACUCAUUGUCAUUCUUAACGAUGCCGCUAAGUGCGAUGCCUAAGGCCCUGGGGCUUGAAGACAAAUCAAAGGGUUGUUUCCCACAUAAAUUUAGCUCUUUAGAACAUCUAAACUACGUAGGAUGUCACCCUGACCCUACAUACUACAAUGUCGAACGAAUGUCACCCUCUCAACGAGCUAAGUUUGAUGAAUGGUAUGUCAAAGAAGCUAACGGUGUGUUUGAUUUUGCUAAACAGGCGCUAACCUACUGUGAGAAUGAUGUUGAUUUGUUAAUGCAAGGAUGUGAGAAAUUCAGGAGCGAGUAUUUUGAGGCUACAAGAACAGACCCUUUCAACGCCGUCACAAUAGCCUCGGCUUGCAUGAAAGUUUUUCGCACUAAUUUCCUAACUCCUGAAACACUAGCUAUUACACCUUCAGACAACUACAUGCGACAGUACAAAGCUUUCUCACACGAUUCUAUUCAAUACAUGCAAUGGGUCAUGGAUAGUCAAAAUAUCCACAUUAGACAUGCGUUGAACGGGGGAGAAGUUAAGAUCCAUAACUACACUGUAGACGGGUAUUCUGAAAUUGGGGGGAUGAAAAUAGUUUUUGAGUAUUUUGGUUGUUAUCACCAUGGCUGCCCAGAAUGCUACAACCUCUCUAAUAUAUGUCCAACAACAAAACGUCCCUUUCAGGAAAGGUUUGACAACACCCAAAAGAAAAUUCAGGAACUGCAGCUUAAACAAGAUGUGCACCUUGUAAUUAUGUGGGAGCACGAAUGGUUGCAAAUGAAAAAAUUGAACACAGAGGUUAAGGAAUUCCUGAAAAAAGCCAAAUUUCCUACACCUCUCAAACCAAGGCAGGCUCUUUUUGGAGGUCGAACAAACACGUUUGUUUUAAGAUACACGGCAGAAGCUGACGAGAGGGUGUUGUACGUCGAUGUGACAUCAUUAUAUCCUUUCAUUAAUAGUACAGGUAUCUACCCUAUUGGUCAUCCAACGAUUAUCCACAGUGAUUUUAAAGACCCAAGACUGUAUUUCGGCUUCAUAAGCGCUACCGUCAAUCCACCUCGUGGUUUGUAUUUUCCUGUUUUACCUUUCAAAACAGCUAAAGGUAAACUUGUCUUCACACUGUGUCGUACAUGCGCUGAGCAUAACAACCAGCAGACAGCUUGUACGCAUAAUGAUGAGCAGAGAUCGUUAACAGGUGUUUGGACAACUCCUGAAUUUGUUAAGGCACUUGAUCUUGGCUACAGUGUUGCUGAUAUUACAGAAGUAUGGCAUUACACAAGAGCGAGCGACACAAUUUUCCGUGAUUACAUGCGAACAUUUCUAAAAGGUAAACAGGAAUCUUCAGGCUAUCCAGCGCAUGCGGUCAAUCAAGCUGAUAGAGAAAAUUACAUACAGAGCUACGCGAUUCAUCAGGGUAUCCAACUGGACCCUUCCAAAAUUGCUGUAAAUCAUGGGAAACGUCAGGUUUCGAAACUUUGUCUAAACAAUCUAUGGGGAAAACUAGCCCAGCGUGAGAACAUGACAAACACAAAAAUUGUGACAAAAUCUGAGGAGUUUUUUGAUCUUCUGUUUUCCGGUUUGUACGAUGUGAAAUUCUUCCACUUUAUCAGCGAAAAGCUUUCGGGUGUACAAUAUUGUUUCAACAUAAACAAUGAGAUACCAGCCUCAAAAACAUCAAACGUGGCGGCUGCGUGUUUCACAACCGCUUAUGCACGUCUAAAAAUGUACAACUAUCUAGAAAUUUUACAGACGCGCGUUCUUUACACUGACACAGUGUACACGGUCAAACCUGGCGAAACUGUCCUCCCGCUAGGGGAUUAUCUGGGCGAUUUGACAGAUGAGCUUUCGAAUGACAGCAUUUCAGAAUUUGUCUCAGCAGGGCCGAAAACAUACGCUUACAAGACAAGGGCAACAAACCGCACCGUCAUGAAGGUAAAGGGUAUCACACAGACUCACGAAAGCGGUCAGAGCGUCAAUCUUGACAGCAUGCUCGAUUUGGUUCAGGGGUACAUCGACACAGCAGGUGCAGUCUCAGACGUGCUUUACGCACCCCAACAUGGCAUUGUUCGCAAUAAGAGAGGGUUUCAUCUCAGAAACACAUCGUUUUCCAAGCGGCUUCGUGUGGUCUACGACAAAAGAAGAUUGCUCAAUCAAGGCCGCACUGAACCAUUUGGUUAUUGAAAAUGGCUUUUAACCAGAUUGAAUUUGACCCUAGAUUAGAACUUCCUUUUUCAUCGUUAAUAGCAGGGCCUUCAGGUUGUGGCAAGACGUUUUUUGUUAAAAAUGUUAUAGAAAAUCUUGAACAUGUUAUGAGAAAAAAACCUGAUAAUAUUGUCUGGGUUUAUACUUCAUAUCAACCAAUGUACGAUGAGCUCAAAAACAUGAAUAAAGACAUCGUUUUUAUCAA
Syngnathus typhle (broad-nosed pipefish) is the source of this 25087-nucleotide RNA transcript. It is a transcript of the gene named tubulin folding cofactor D, with no coding region annotated. NCBI's taxonomy places the organism in Eukaryota, Metazoa, Chordata, Actinopteri, Syngnathiformes, Syngnathidae. The transcript has 42 exons. The record is from RefSeq and is a predicted model, not a curated record.